RNAcentral lists this transfer RNA (80 nucleotides) under Wohlfahrtiimonas chitiniclastica SH04. It matches the Rfam family "tRNA". Rfam says of the family: Transfer RNA (tRNA) molecules are approximately 80 nucleotides in length. Their secondary structure includes four short double-helical elements and three loops (D, anti-codon, and T loops). The record is from Rfam by way of RNAcentral. Lineage: Bacteria; Pseudomonadati; Pseudomonadota; Gammaproteobacteria; Cardiobacteriales; Ignatzschineriaceae.
GCGAGAGUGGCGAAAUUGGUAGACGCACUGGAUUUAGGUUCCAGCGGGCAACCGUGAGAGUUCGAGUCUCUCCUCUCGCA